RNAcentral lists this non-coding RNA (316 nucleotides) under Ictidomys tridecemlineatus (thirteen-lined ground squirrel). Lineage: Eukaryota; Metazoa; Chordata; Mammalia; Rodentia; Sciuridae. The record is from RNAcentral.
CACAAAAGGAGGGAGGGAGAGAACGAGAAGCAGAACUUCCUCCACCUUCGGGAGCUCUGGGCGGAGGGGGGGGCUGGCCAGGGAGGUUGGGUGACUGGGCUAGAGGGGGUGCCCACUCCUGUCCCCCAAUCUACUCUUGCCCAUUCUCUCCUGGUGUGUCGUUAGUCGCAGCGUUGGAGAUUGGCGCGGGCCCCCGCCCUUCGCAUACCCCACGGGAAGGAAGCACCCCCGGUAUUAAAAAAGAGCAGAGCGGAAAGAAGCGCUUAGUCGCCGGCGAGGAGGCGAGCCGAUGCCGAGCUGCACCGCGUCCACCAUG